Molecule: long non-coding RNA, 819 nt
Organism: Salvia miltiorrhiza (redroot sage)
Lineage: Eukaryota; Viridiplantae; Streptophyta; Magnoliopsida; Lamiales; Lamiaceae
Exons: 2
Source: RefSeq, a predicted model, not a curated record
UGGCGUCGGCAUCAGACCUUGCCCAAAACUCUCAUCUUCCGUGUUUCUUCUCUGAAAUUUCAACUCCAGAUUAUACCCCCAAUCGAACCCUAAUUCUUUCAUCAUGGACUACCACCGCUGCUGUCCUCUUCGGUGUAGACGGGCUCGAUGCCUCAUCGCGCCGUUGUUGUUAUAGUCAGAUUCCAGCGAGGCAGCAAGGGAUCGCCGCCGUCAUUCCCUCGGCUCGACUGAACAGGCUGAACUCAAGAAGAAAAUGGAGAAGUUUAAGUUGAGCUUACCUCUUGGGGUCCAGAUUGCAGCUGAAAUAAACUCUCUAUGAUUUUUGGUGCAUAAAGGAAGGAGGGGAAAUCGUAGUUGGUGAUUUUCAGGCUACUAUGAAGCCCUCAAUUUAUAGGCAGAUUAGGCCGCAAAACUUGAAAACUAUUUACAGCAAAUGUGGAAAUUUUGCUGCAACUUUUGACAAAAAUGAAAUUGGUUGGUGGCUGCCAUAAUUUUUUUUUGACUAAUAGUGGAAUUUCAUGUGAGACUUUGAAAAGUGGAGUACUCAUAGGGUGCGUCUGAUCCUAGUUGUAUCUUAGCAUGCUUCAAAUAUUAAAUUGUGACUUUUGCAGGGAAAAGAGUAUGACCUUAGCAGAGUUAAAGAAAAGGGGCUGCUAUGCGUGUACUAUCUAUAUUUUAUUUCUUGAUUUUGUAUACUCUAUUGAUAGUGUAGGAGCGUAGGGAGUGUGAAAGAAAAAUGAUGAUUGUAAGUAAAUAGAAUUGAGGUGACUAAUAAAAAUCUCUUGCCUUGAUUAAUUAAUCAAGUAUUUGUAAAACAAA